Non-coding RNA from Pelobates cultripes (western spadefoot toad), 275 nucleotides. The record is from the annotation of a GenBank genome assembly. NCBI's taxonomy places the organism in Eukaryota, Metazoa, Chordata, Amphibia, Anura, Pelobatidae.
UUGGUUCAGCAAUAGCCGAAUGACUAAAUAUCAAGCCAUGCUAUGCGAAAAUCCAAGAGUACACCUUGAGACUGUUAGUACCCUGAAUAUAGCUACCCUUUUGCUACAACCUAUUGAAAGUCAACAUGAUUGUUUGGAGAUAAUGGAUGAAGUGUUUUCAAGCCGACCGGACCUUCAUGACUUUCCCAUCCAGAACCCGGAUGUACAGUAUUAUACGGAUGGUAGUAGCUAUGUGAAAGAAGGAAUUCGCUAUGCAGGAUAUGCGGUAACAACUA